Molecule: ribosomal RNA, 388 nt
Filed under: uncultured bacterium
Lineage: Bacteria
Description: bacterial SSU rRNA
Rfam family: Bacterial small subunit ribosomal RNA
Source: RNAcentral
AAUGAACGCUGGCGGCAUGGAUUAGGCAUGCAAGUCGAACGGGCCGUUUUUCGCAAGAGAGACGGCUAGUGUCGAAAGGGUGAGUAACACGUGAGCAACCUGCCCUCGAGUUCGGGAUAGCCCGCGGAAACGUGGAUUAAUACCGAAUGUGGUACCCUGUCUCAUGGCGGGGCUACUGAAGAUUUAUCGCUCGGGGAUGGACUCGCGGCCCAUAAGCUUGUUGGCGGGGUAACGGCCCACCAAGGCUAUGACGGGUAGGUGGUCUGAGAGGAUGGUCACCCACACUGGGACUGAGACACUGCCCAGACUCCUACGGGAGGCUGCAGUCGAGAAUCUUCCGCAAUGGGCGCAAGCCUGACGGAGCAAUGCCGCGUGAGGGAUGAAGGCC